GAUGAACGCUGGCGGCGUGCCUAAUACAUGCCAGUCGAGCGAACAGACGCGGAGCUUGCUCCACUGACGUUAGCGGCGGACGGGUGAGUAAAACGUGGAUAACCUACCUAUAAGACUGGGAUAACUUCGUGAAACCGGAGCUAAUACCGGAUAAUAUAUUGAACCGCAUGGUUCAAUAGUGAAAGACGGUUUUGCUGUCACUUAUAGAUGGAUCCGCGCCGCAUUAGCUAGUUGGUAAGGUAACGGCUUACCAAGGCAACAAUGCGUAGCCGACCUGAGAGGGUGAUCGGCGACACUGGAAGUGAGACGCGGUACAGACUCCUACGGGAGGCAGCAGUAGGGAAGCUUGCGCGAUGGGCGAAAGCUUGACGGAGCAACGCCGCGUGAGUGAUGAAGGUCUUCGGAUCGUAAAACUCUGUUAUGAGGGAAGAACAAAUGUGUAAGGAACGAUGCACGUCUUGACGGUACCUAAUCAGAAAGCCACGGCUAACUACGUG
RNAcentral lists this ribosomal RNA (497 nucleotides) under uncultured bacterium. RNAcentral's name for it is "partial 16S ribosomal RNA". It matches the Rfam family "Bacterial small subunit ribosomal RNA", at positions 28 to 507 of the family's 1533-position model. The record is from RNAcentral.